AUGCCAUAUAUGGUAAAUUUUACUUUUCCGUAAUUAAUAAGCUUUUGUUUUGAUACACUUUGUUUAUUUUUUUUAGAAGCAAUGCAAGUGGAAGGCGAUUAUGAGCGGGAGCUCAAAAGAGCUUUCAAGAUGGGUAAAAACCGAUAUCACAAAGCGGGCUCUUUGAAAAAACAAAAAGAUAAACAAAUAUAAUAAAUUAAAGUAUGAAAACAAUUAAUUUAAGUAACAUUGACAUUAUUUUUAAAUGUAAAAUCUUAAUUAUAGUAAUUUGUACUGAAAUGGAUUUCUUUAUUAUUUCUAAUUGAAUUAAAAAAUAUAAAACUAUAAGAUAUUUA
Bactrocera neohumeralis is the source of this 335-nucleotide long non-coding RNA. RefSeq lists it as uncharacterized. The record is from RefSeq and is a predicted model, not a curated record. The transcript has 2 exons. NCBI's taxonomy places the organism in Eukaryota, Metazoa, Arthropoda, Insecta, Diptera, Tephritidae.